RNAcentral lists this ribosomal RNA (433 nucleotides) under uncultured bacterium. RNAcentral's name for it is "partial 16S ribosomal RNA". It matches the Rfam family "Bacterial small subunit ribosomal RNA", at positions 29 to 507 of the family's 1533-position model. The record is from RNAcentral.
AACGAACGCUGGCGGCAGGCCUAACACAUGCAAGUCGAGCGAGAUCUUCGGGUCUAGCGGCGGACGGGUGAGUAACGCGUGGGAAUAUGCCUCUUGGUACGGAAUAGCCUCGGGAAACUGGGAGUAAUACCGUAUGUGCCCUUUGGGGGAAAGAUUUAUCGCCAAGAGAUUAGCCCGCGUUGGAUUAGGUAGUUGGUGGGGUAAUGGCCUACCAAGCCGACGAUCCAUAGCUGGUUUGAGAGGAUGAUCAGCCACACUGGGACUGAGACACGGCCCAGACUCCUACGGGAGGCAGCAGUGGGGAAUCUUAGACAAUGGGGGCAACCCUGAUCUAGCCAUGCCGCGUGAGUGAUGAAGGCCUUAGGGUUGUAAAGCUCUUUCAGCUGGGAAGAUAAUGACGGUACCAGCAGAAGAAGCCCCGGCUAACUCCGCG